Homo sapiens (human) is the source of this 1687-nucleotide long non-coding RNA. Ensembl annotates it as long intergenic non-protein coding RNA 2267. Lineage: Eukaryota; Metazoa; Chordata; Mammalia; Primates; Hominidae. The record is from Ensembl.
AGGUGCUAAGAACGCUCAAGCCAUGGAGAGAGAUGCAUUUGGAGUUGUUUACAUUCAGACAAAGCUCAUCUGGUUGUUUGCAGCUAGUCACAAGGAUCCAGAGCCGAGAACACUGGUAUGAUGCAAGGAUUUGUGGCCAGCCAAUUCAAGCUUGAAAACUUAUCUCUAUCACUAACAUGACAUUAUAUUCCUGAUAUUUUUACUUCUCUUAGCCUCUGUUUAUUUGUCUGUAAAACUGGAGUGUGAUUCAAGAAGGGUGUAAGAACAUUUAAUGGGGAUAAUAGUCUUUUCAAUUAAUAGUUAUAGAACCACUGGAUAUCCACUGCAAAAGAAUUAAAUCAGACCCCUGCUUCAUACCAUAUGCAAAAAUUAAUUCAAAGCAUUCAUAGAUUUAAAUGUAAGAACUAACACUAUAAUACUCUUAGAAGAAAACAUAGGGGUGAAUCAUAGUGACCUUAGAUAAAGUAAUGAUUUCUUAGAUACAAUAGCAAAUGCACAAGCAACAAAUAAAGACAUAUAUUGAACUUCAUUAUAAUGAAAAAAUGCAUGUUUCAAGGAUGUCAUCAGUAAAGUGAAAAGAUGACCCACAAAUAGGGAGGAAAUGUUUUCAAAUUAUAUAACUGAUGAGGAACUUGUAUCCAGAAUAUAUAACGAACAUUUACAACUCAACAAUAAAGAGACUAUUUAAUUUUUUAAAUGGCCAAAAAACUUAAAUAGAUUUUCCUCCAAAGAAGGUAUACAAAUGGCCAAUAAGCAUAUGAAAAUGUGUUCCUUUGUGAAAUGCAAAUCAAAACAACAAUGAGCUAUUGUUCAUACCUAGUAGGAUGGAUAUACUAGAAAAGACAGAGAAUAACAAAUGUUGAUGAGGUUGUGGAUAAAUUGAAACUCUUAUGCACUGCUGAUGAGAAUAUGAAUUCAUGCUGCCCCUAUGAAAAACACUUCAAAAGGUGCUCAAUAUUUAAACAGAGUUACCAUAUCACUGAGUAAUUCUACUCCUAGGUAUACACCAAGAAAAUUGAAGAUUUAUGUUCAUGUAAAAACUUGUGCACAAAUACUCAUAUCAGCAUCAUAAAUAAUAGUUAACAAGUGGAAACGGCCCAGAUCUCCAUCACUGAUAAAUGGAUAACAAAUUAUUUUAUAUUCAUACAAUGGAAUAUUAUUUAGCCAUAAAUGUAUCAGGAAUUAAGUACUGAUGCAUUCUACAACAUGGAUAAACCUUGUAAACAUUAUGCUAAGUAAAAGAAGCCAAACACAGAAGAAUAAAUAUUGUAUAAAUCAAUUUAUAUGAAAUGUCCAAAAAGUAGAUUAAUUGUUACCAGGGCCUGGGGCAAGGCAGAUGUGGGAAAUGAAUGCUAAGUGUGGAUGAUGCCACCUUUCUAAUAUUAGGUGGGGGAGAUGGCUGCACAAUCCUGUGACUAUACAAAAAAAAUGCUGAAUUGUAUACUUUAAAGAAUGUAAUCCCAGCACUUUGGGAGGCCGAGGCGGGUGGAUCAUGAGGUCAGGAGAUCGAGACCAUCCUGGCUAACAAGGUGAAACCCCGUCUCUACUAAAAAUACAAAAAAAUUAGCCGGGCGCGGUGGCGGGCGCCUGUAGUCCCAGCUACUCGGGAGGCUGAGGCAGGAGAAUGGCGUGAACCCGGGAAGCGGAGCUUGCAGUGAGCCGAGAUUGCGCCACUGCAGUCCGCAGU